RNAcentral lists this long non-coding RNA (1050 nucleotides) under Homo sapiens (human). Its description in RNAcentral is "HSALNT0059206". The record is from RNAcentral. Lineage: Eukaryota; Metazoa; Chordata; Mammalia; Primates; Hominidae.
CCUUAUUUUACUUGAUCUGCAAAGUAAAAAUCUGCACAUUUGAUGGAUUCGUAAAUACCACUAAUGACACUUAGAUCUCCGGACACACAGUGCUUUAAGCAGUAGGGGCAGCCAGCCACGCAGCCUAUGUCUGUGACUGUCAAUGCAUUUUACCUAUUAUCUCUCUACAUAUUCUUUUUUAAAUCUGUGACCAUCAACAGUGUUUAUUUUGAUGGGUUUCUCAACUUUGCCUAAACUGAAAGUGUUUUGUUUUUCUCUGGCACUCUGUGUGUAAUCAGAGAUGGCUUGGGUACACAGAGAAGGCCCACAGACAGCCUAUCAGACCACAGAGCCAGAACAUGCCUGUGGUCUGACAAUCACCCUGUAGGGUUCUCCCAGUGCUAACUCUGAUCCAAGAGAAAGGAAGAUGAGGAGAACAGCCAGCAAUUUUAGGACAAGGCCACACAGACAAAAACUGCUGUGACUCCAGAGUGUGUCUGGAGAGGAGGCUUGCAAUGAAAGGCAGCUUUUCUCUCUCUUUGGGGUAGAGUGCUUCACCUGCCACAGUGAUGGUGCCCCACUGCUGACUGUCCAGCAGGGGGAAAAAAGAGUUGAUCUUUUCCACAUGAAUGAGAUUGGACACUCUCUCAAGCCAAGUGCUGUGGGACUCAGACAGAAAGGGCCACCUGUUAUGGAGGUGACUUAGGUCAGGAGAUAAUUCUCAGCUGUUCAAACAAAUAAACUUCAACACCACAGGUCACUUCCUUUACCUGCUCUUUGUGUCCGCAGCACCCUGCCGUGCCGCCAAGCCAUUUACCCCUUUUAAUUGAGCAGACGUGGCUUUUUUUCUGCCUGUGCUUUUUUCUGGCUUGUUACUGCCAUGGCUAACAAUUAACACUAUGAUAAAAAUGAAUGCUUGCUACAUAUGCCAAAUGAUAUUACCAACAAGGGGGCUUGUGUGAGAACUCGCAGGUGCUGUGUAAAUCCAAUUUGUGGGACUCAGACUGCCCAGAAUUACACAAAGAUAGCAGGGACCGCUGCCCUCAUGGAACUUGGCAAAGCACACUGCAC